Molecule: ribosomal RNA, 465 nt
Filed under: uncultured bacterium
Lineage: Bacteria
Description: bacterial SSU rRNA
Rfam family: Bacterial small subunit ribosomal RNA
Source: RNAcentral
CCUACGGGGGGCUGCAGUGGGGAAUAUUGGACAAUGGGCGAAAGCCUGAUCCAGCCAUGCCGCGUGUGUGAAGAAGGUCUUCGGAUUGUAAAGCACUUUAAGUUGGGAGGAAGGGCAGUAAGUUAAUACCUUGCUGUUUUGACGUUACCAACAGAAUAAGCACCGGCUAACUUCGUGCCAGCAGCCGCGGUAAUACGAAGGGUGCAAGCGUUAAUCGGAAUUACUGGGCGUAAAGCGCGCGUAGGUGGUUUUGUAAGUUGGAGGUGAAAUCCCCGGGCUCAACCUGGGAACUGCCUCCAAAACUGCAUGACUAGAGUACGGUAGAGGGUAGUGGAAUUUCCUGUGUAGCGGUGAAAUGCGUAGAUAUAGGAAGGAACACCAGUGGCGAAGGCGACUACCUGGACUGAUACUGACACUGAGGUGCGAAAGCGUGGGGAGCAAACAGGAUUAGAUACCCCGGUAGUC